CCUACGGGAGGCAGCAGCAGGGAAUCUUGCGCAAUGGGCGAAAGCCUGACGCAGCGACACCGCGUGGGGGAUGAAGGCCUUCGGGUUGUAAACCCCUUUCAGGAGGGAUGAAAUUGACAGUACCUCCACAAGAAGGACCGGCCAACUACGUGCCAGCAGCCGCGGUAAUACGUAGGGUCCGAGCGUUAUCCGGAAUCAUUGGGCGUAAAGAGCUCGUAGGCGGUUCAGCAAGUCGGCUGUGAAAGUUCGAGGCUCAACCUCGAAAUUGCAGUCGAUACUGCUGUGACUCGAGUCCGGUAGAGGAGAAUGGAAUUCCCGGUGUAGCGGUGAAAUGCGCAGAUAUCGGGAGGAACACCAGUAGCGAAGGCGGUUCUCUGGGCCGGCACUGACGCUGAGGAGCGAAAGCGUGGGGAGCAAACAGGAUUAGAUACCCUGGUAGUCCACGCCGUAAACGUUGGAUACUAGGUGUGGCGUCCCGAUUAACGGUCGCCGUGCCGAAGCUAACGCAUUAAGUAUCCCGCCUGGGGAGUACGGCCGCAAGGCUAAAACUCAAAGGAAUGACGGAAUCGUCGACCGCAGAGAACUUC
Molecule: ribosomal RNA, 587 nt
Filed under: uncultured Actinomycetes bacterium
Lineage: Bacteria; Bacillati; Actinomycetota; Actinomycetes
Description: bacterial SSU rRNA
Rfam family: Bacterial small subunit ribosomal RNA
Source: RNAcentral